This 400-nucleotide ribosomal RNA is filed under the name uncultured bacterium. Its description in RNAcentral is "bacterial SSU rRNA". It matches the Rfam family "Bacterial small subunit ribosomal RNA", at positions 355 to 752 of the family's 1533-position model. The record is from RNAcentral.
UGGGGAAUUUUGGUCAAUGGGCGCAAGCCUGAACCAGCAACGCCGCGUGGGUGAUGAAGGCCUUCGGGUUGUAAAGCCCUGUCGGGAGGGACGAAUGAACGGCGUAACGAACCGGAAUGACGGUACCUCCAAAGGAAGCACCGGCUAACUCUGUGCCAGCAGCCGCGGUAAUACAGAGGGUGCAAGCGUUGUUCGGAAUUACUGGGCGUAAAGCGCGUGUAGGCGGUCUGCCAAGUCUGAUGUGAAAGCCCCGGGCUCAACCCGGGAAGUGCGUCAGAUACUGGUGGACUGGAGUGACGGAGAGGAUGGCGGAAUACCCGGUGUAGAGGUGAAAUUCGUAGAUAUCGGGUGGAACACCUGUGGCGAAGGCGGCCAUCUGGACGUUCACUGACGCUGAGAC